CCUACGGGAGGCAGCAGUGGGGGAUAUUGCACAAUGGGGGAAACCCUGAUGCAGCGACGCCGCGUGGGCGAAGAAGUAUUUCGGUUUGUAAAGUCCUAUCAGCAGGGAAGAAGAUAUGACGGUACCUGACUAAGAAGCCCCGGCUAAAUACGUGCCAGCAGCCGCGGUAAUACGUAGGGUGCAAGCGUUAUCCGGAUUUACUGGGUGUAAAGGGAGGGUAGACGGGAGGGCAAGUCUGGUGUGAAAGGCGGGGGCUCAACCCCCGGACUGCACUGGAAACUGUACGGCUGGAGUGCAGGAGAGGGAAGUGGAAUUCCUAGUGUAGCGGUGAAAUGCGUAGAUAGUAGGAGGAACACCAGUGGCGAAGGCGGCUUACUGGACGGUAACUGACGUUGAGGCGCGAAAGCGUGGGGAGCAAACAGGAUUAGAUACCCGUGUAGUC
Molecule: ribosomal RNA, 442 nt
Filed under: uncultured bacterium
Lineage: Bacteria
Description: partial 16S ribosomal RNA
Rfam family: Bacterial small subunit ribosomal RNA
Source: RNAcentral